Molecule: unclassified non-coding RNA, 345 nt
Filed under: soil metagenome
Description: partial contains 5.8S ribosomal RNA, internal transcribed spacer 2, and large subunit ribosomal RNA
Rfam family: 5.8S ribosomal RNA (bases 1-120)
Source: RNAcentral
GAUGAAGAGCGUAGCGAAAUGCGAUACGUAAUGUGAAUUGCAGAAUUCAGUGAAUCAUCGAGUCUUUGAACGCACAUUGCGCCCCCUGGUAUUCCGGGGGGCAUGCCUGUCCGAGCGUCAUUGCUGCCCUCAAGCACGGCUUGUGUGUUGGGCCUCCGUCCUCCUCCCGGGGGACGGGCCCGAAAGGCAGCGGCGGCACCGCGUCCGGUCCUCGAGCGUAUGGGGCUUCGUCACCCGCUCUUGUAGGCCCGGCCGGCGCUUGCCGACACAUCAAUCUUUUUUCCAGGUUGACCUCGGAUCAGGUAGGGAUACCCGCUGAACUUAAGCAUAUCAAUAAGCGGAGGA